This 7008-nucleotide unclassified non-coding RNA is filed under the name Daphnia magna. RNAcentral's name for it is "uncharacterized LOC116925408, transcript variant X1". Lineage: Eukaryota; Metazoa; Arthropoda; Branchiopoda; Diplostraca; Daphniidae. The record is from RNAcentral.
ACAAUAAAGGUUAUUAUUAAGUCAUUUUUUGUUGGUGCAAAGUAAUAGUUUUAGGGAGCGUUUCGUGUGUGUUCGAAUGUAAAACAAUAAGCGAUGUUUUAAAUUUAGGUGGAUAAACAAUGUGAAGGCCAAAUGGCUCGGAAGGGGCCAUGAUAGUUGACCGAGAGUCGUUAAGUGAAAUGACCACGUUGACCAGUGUCGAGAAAAAGAUGGAGACGGCGUGGAGUCAGCCCUUCGUUUCGCGAAGUUGAGUGAAUCGUCAUUAGCCAUGCCAAAUUAUCUCCAUCAACUGGGCGAAGGAUCAAAAUAUUGGUGUCGCAGUAUUCCUGGACGGACAAGGAUUGUCGAGCUGGCCAGCCACAGCAGCGCGUUAUGGUAGAUAUCAUUGGGAUUCGUCAUCACCUGUAUACGCCGAAUGUUGAAGGGAUCGCGAGAUUCGUCCUUAAAUGAGGAUGUUCUACUUUUAGAUCGAGUCAACACUGGUCGUCUCAGCAUUUUUCAUAGGCCUAAGAACAACAGGAGAAUCCAUCAUUAAACCUAUCAAUUCGCCCGUGUGGAAGGAGCAGUCCACAGCUCAUCGCUGCAACGAAGAUUGAGAGCAUCUCGUAAAACUGUAGGAAAAAAAAACUACAUCAAAAAGAACGGAGAAGACAUGGCGAUCAAUAUAAGAGCUUACUCGAGAGAUUCGGACACUAGCGUCGGAAAUGCCAUCAUUCAACAGCAUCACGCACCGCCAGGAGCCCUAAGAGGAUUGCCAUCUUCCCGGGAGUUUGGUGGCGCCAUUGGUCCCCUUCAUCAUCCGACAGGGCAGCCGGCGGGUAGAGGCAACCGAGGCAACAACCGGAGCGACGUUUCCAUUCAAGUGGACGUUGGAUCAUCGAAAACAGCCAAUAGCGAUCGAAUGGGUCGUACAACAAAGAAUCAAAAAGUUGGCGCUGGAAAAGCGGAGCAAUAUGAAACGGCCCUUUAUUCAAGAGAAGACAUCCGCGAACAGUAUUGCAUCAACAAAAAAGAAACGGAUGUGCUGGAUCGUUCGUCUCACGUGCGCCAAAGAGCUAAAGGAUUCUUCGGAUGCCUAACAAGUCGCAAGGAUCAUGGCGCCAAAAAGAAAAAAUCAAGAUCUUCCUUCUUUUCUGCGUUGUGCGUCCGACGGGCGAGCGAAGAAAAUUUGUACAACGGCUGCAACAAACCCGUAGCCAAUACAAAUCGGAGCGUCACUCUACCUGCACUUCAGCCGUUCACGGUUCCUCUACGCGAUGAUGGCUCUAAUCAACCAGGCUUGUUUCGGAAUCGUCCUCAAUCAUUCUGUACAACUGACCCACGCAGAUUCUCCAUGCAAACCUCAACUGCUCCUUGCAUUGUGAAUAGCUACGCACCUCGCCAUUCAGAUCCAGAUUGGAAAAUUAGCACGUUGCCCAUUCAUCGGACAAACAGUGAUGCUCCAAAUGAAAGUGAAAAUUACGGAGGUAACCAUCCGUUCCGGUAUGGUGGCAGGUUGGCCUACACUCAACCAAACACACCUGAACUUUCGGCUGCACUUUACCGGAGGCAGGUCAUGUCCAGCGAGGCGCUUUUAGAUGACAGAAGAUCUACCGGUUCGAUUUCGAAACAUGUCAGUUUCGAUGCUUCGUCUCCUUGUUCUGAGAUUUACACGUCAGCCGUUCCAGCAAAUGCUUCCAAGAGCCAGGAACGGCUUCUAGACGGUCGUAAAACUCCGGAACCAUUUAUCGAAUCCAAAAGACAUCCACAUCAGACAGCUGCAUUUUCUCCCGUAUUGGCUCGCGCCAUACUUUUAGAGAGAUUGCGCCAAGCGUCGAUGCGGAGCCAGGCCACGCAAACGGAAGGUUAUUAUAAUUCGACGACGUCACUCUCCUACCCCAGUUGCUAUAGUGGCGCCGGAUCGCAAGUCUCGAUUCCGGGGGCAGUCAGUACAGUCACGCGUCAAGUUCAGACCAACUUUGAACCGCGUUCAGCUAAAGAAAUGAAACGUUUAACAAGGAGCUCAUCAGCUGUGGAUCAGGAGGCUGAGGGAGAGAGAGAAUCUCAGAAAACAGAGGUCGAAUUCCAGCCUUUAAAACGUUUACCGGAUGAACUUAGUCAGUCUCAACCGGAAGAAAUAGGAGAAUAUAACAAGACUGCAUCACCUGACCGGGGGUCGCCUAGCAGCGGCAAACAUGUGCGCUCCAGCAGACGGCGGCAGUUAUUGAAAGCUUUAUCAGAAGGAACGAUCCUGCUGGAUCGGAAACGUGCCCGACGUUUUGCUUCCGGCUAUGUUGAAGUUAAUGUGCACGACAACGAACGUUCGCCCGUCGAAGAGGUGGCUGGCAGAGUCCUGGUUCACGAUCCGAUGCGUCAUGGAAUCGGUUCCAGCGACGAUGGAAGUCUCGACGAUGAGGAUCUUUUUGCUUCGUCGCUUCCGCUGAAAGGAAAAGCCACAACUUCCUCGCAAGAUAUCAACCGCUCGUUGGGUUUCACUGACGUGGAAGACGUUUGGUCUGACUCGGAGCAUCCGCCAGAUGGGCAAACGGAAGAUGUCAAGUCAACGUCUUUGCUGCAGGCGCAAAAAUCGUUCGACUCUAACGCUUCGUUUCCGGAUACGGCCGGUAACUAUAGCGACGAGUUUGGAAGUACGUCGCAAGUUACGGUCCUCCAGCCGCAUUCAUCCUGCCAAAGUGUCGGAACGGCCAAGGAUGAAAAAGGAAAUAGUUCGUUCGUCGUCACUUGCGAUUCGGAUUUGGAUGCACCGCGUCCGCCUACGCCACCACCUAGACGUCCACCAGCUGCAAGCGAUCCAGCAGCCACCGAAACAUUAGAAAUGGAGAAUGAAAUUAUGGUCCAGUUUCCUCCGUGGCCAGGAGCUCAUGAUACUGAAGUAAUUCCGGCACCACCCAGUUUUGCUUGUUCUUCCGCCAAUUCGUCUCUUCAUCCGGAAGACGAUGAUUUAAAAUCGCCUGCUCCUCCACCCCAAGACGUUGAAUUGUCAAACAAUCAAAUGAGUCAACGCGUUUUAUUGCGCCAUCUGAAGAACGGAUCGAAAAGUAUGUCGGAGACGAUUACGUCAGUCGAUUCGGAUUCUUCCGGCCGUCGAGUGACGGAACAUGAAACGUCGGCCAGUUCUGAACCUCUCAGUCCUCCUGGCAGUGAGCUCAAUAGUCCUUUACAAGCGGAUAUCAACAGCAAACCGGCUGGAUUGGAUUCCACCGAUACCAAUUCGGAUGCGUUUCUGACUGCCCUUUCCGAUCACUUGACGACGGCCGGAUUGACUGAAGUCUACAACACUGCGAUGGAACGCAGCGAAAGGAGCUUCAGAGAAAGUGAUACUUCACAUAACAGCACUUUAAGGAUGGAUCAUUCCGGCGUCCAAGAGUUACCCUACGAAUCUCCUCCACCUCAAGAUGUCCUUCACGAUGAUGGGCCGCCUCCCUUGCUGACGUCACCGGAUUCAAACAACGAUGGACCAGACAUUUGCCGAGAAAGUUCCACGUCCGGAAGCUAUAGCCUAGAAGCUACUCCUUGUGCGUCACUUAGUCCCAUCGCUGUUCAACCGAUCGAAAUGGCUGGCCUCGCAGCUGUAAUGGAUUCAACAAAACAAUCUCUAACUUUGAAUCCGGAAUCUGUAGUAAAUUCUACUCUAGAUUGUGCCCCGUCAAGCACUCAGGCGGAGGCUGUUGCCAAGGCAACCGAUCGGAAAACUUUGAAGGAGACAAUGAAGUUGCAAUUUCCGCCAGGGUCCAGCAUGUUUUCAUCAACGGCUUCGCCUUCCACUCCGGCCAAAUCAGGUGCCAGCGGAAGACGUAAACAUUUUACGCAGCAGCAAUCGACCAAUCAGCACAGUUCGACGGAUUCGGAAGACAAUGAAGAAGCCGGAGAUCGUUGCAGCCGGAAGCGGAGGUCAAACAAAAACAGCGCCGCACCAGAGUCCGCACCCGAUUCAGUCAAACGUCCGUCAUCCAAGCACAAGAAAACGCGCAAUCGAGAUCCACUCACUCCCAACAAUUCAUUUUCCAAUCCGGAUGGAAGCGGAGGAGCCAAGAAACGCGAUUCUCAAAUUGUAGCGGAAGUUACGACACCCGGAAUGGUUCGCAGUCCAGCUAUGCACGAAGGCUUCCGGUUGACGGAUUGGGACGUUGUCGCACCGCAAAUUUCGCCGCUUCCAAACACGGAAUCAUCCGACGAUCACAAUUAUUUCACUCUACAACAUCCGAGCGAGUCUUCCUUUCACGAUCCGGACAAUAUGGCAGAUAUGGUGGGAAAAUCGUGGAACUUGAUGGCACCAUCUCCAUCGCGCAAACAAAAUUGCGAUUCCAUUAGAUCCGUCAGUCCCGGAAGCGACAAUGUUUUCGUUUCGGAAACACCAGCUGAGAUGUCUGGCAACGGUGGCGUACCACCGCCACCGGAAGGUUUUGCUGAUUCACCGGCCUUUGCGGCACCUGACUGGAAUUUAACUUGUAAUAUCAAGACGCAAUCCGCUGGCAGUCAAGCGGAAUCGAUCAGCUGUGACAAUCAAGAGAAUAGCAAAAGGAAGCGAGAAUCCGGCCGUGGCAAACGGACCAAAAGUUGUACAUUACCGGCGGGCAAUUUAAGCGCUUCGGCCUUGUCAGCAGAAACUACUGAAUCGUCUGACAAUCAAGUCCCUCACAGGGCGGUUUCUACCAUCGAUAUGUGGUAUCCGGAGACUCAACUGCCGCCCAAAAGGCAAUUGACUGUGCGUGCCAAAUCGGAAGAAAAGGAACGUUUUAAUCGACCUGUUAGACGGAACUUGAAUCAAUUAAUCAGAUCCGUUGAAGCCAGCUGGGAUUCACUCGGUUCUAAAUUGAGUUGCGACGGAACGCCUUUAGAUGAUGAAGAUGCCGGCAUUUACAAUGCCAGUUAUCGUGCUGGUGCCUGGGCCUACAUUGGUGAAACGGAAGAGCUUCAUGUCUGGCGCCGUUCCCAACCGCAGACGCCGUUACAAGAAACCGACGAUUCGUCGACGGCUUCUGAAAAAGACUUCCGGCGUAAAUACACAUCCAUCACGCACCGCAUGGUCCACCGCAAGUCCAGUGUGGAAAUGUUUCGUCGGCUCGCCACUAGCACAUUCGAUUCAACCACCGACUCAAGUGUCAGACACUCUUUAGAAGAUAUUUUCCAGUUGAUGUUGAUGAUAUGGUGCCGCGAGAGUCUGGCACUGCGCAGACUAGCGGACAUUCGUCCAGGCGAGUGCGAUAAUGUCGUCUUGGUCAAGAGAGAAUCGGGCGAGUUUGGAUUCAGAAUUCACGGUUCAAAGCCGGUUGUUGUGUCAGCUAUUGAGCCUGGAACUCCAGCUGAGUUGAGUGGAUUGCAGGUGGGCGAUAUCCUCAUUAGUAUCAACGAUGUCAACGUCCUCGAUUCUUCUCAUUCGGAGGUGGUCCGCAUCGCUCAUACAGGCACAGAUGAGCUGAAGCUUGAGGUGGCAAGAACAUGCAACAUCCUGUCAACGAACCCCAUUUUGGCUCCAGACCAGUCAACAACAACUGAUGGUUCCCAGGGAGGCAGCACCACUGACAACGAGUCUCCAAUUUUGGUGGGCUACCUCUGGAAGAAGAGCCAGUCAGCCAGUCGUAUUGAUGAAUCUGCCAACAAUGUUUGGUACAGGAGGUGGUUUGUCCUCAAGAGAGACCACUGUCUCUACUACUACAAAAACCAAGAUAGUUCGCAGCCAUUGGGAGCCGUUUCUCUUUUGCAUUACACGGUGACUCGUACUUCGUUUGCCGAACGACCUCACGGUUUACUGUUGAGCAAAGGUGGAACUAUACGACAUUGGCUGGCAGCCGAAUCGACGGAAUCGGUUGAACUGUGGCAUUCCGUCUUCAAUCACGCUUCUAAAGCCGCCGUCCAGCAGGACGUUUGGCUUGAAAUGUGCGCUCGAAACAUUGAAUUGCCGCCGGCGUCGAUGGCAUCACCCGACUGCGUCGGCCAUCUCAUGAAGCUCGGCCACCGGGCCAAAGAAUGGCAGCGUCGCCUCUGCCUUCUCAAAGACGCCUGUCUCUAUUUCUACGUUGAUAUCAACGUCUCUUCUGCCCUGGGAGCGUUGCACUUGCACGGUUACCGCGUCCAAGCCUCAGGCACGACCGCCUCGAGCGGUGAACGACGCAAAUUCGCCUUCGAACUCUUGCCGCCGGAACCUCGCAUGCGCCAUUUUCAUUUUUACACAGACUCGGAGAACGAUCGCAAACGGUGGAUUGCCGCGUUAGAGUAUUCGAUCGAUCGCUGGAUCAGAGUCGGCUAAGUCGUCAAGUUCUCGUCACUUCGUGAACCGACGAAGGAGAAAUACCAGCAACAACCAGAUGAAUAUAUAAAUAACUGCGUUGUUUCGUUACAUAUAGAACGGAAUUCAUUCAUUUUACAACUCCUCCUCCUCUUUCUAGACCUCUUUUGAUUUUUUUUUCCUCAUGCGUGUUAUUUCCUCCUCUUUUGUAAAACGCAAUAGCAACAAAAAAGACGUCGGCGUGCUUCGCUAUUUUCUCUCGCAACCGCAGACAAGAGCAACAACGAUCUGUGGGUUUUUUUGUUUUUCAUUCGACGAACUCCAGCCCAAAGAAACUCAACAAAGAGAUAAACAUUUUCUUUUUCAUUCUUUUAUUCGAGGUAAAUAAUGACGUUUUUUUUUUAUUAUUAUAAUUUUUAUUUUCAUGGAAUUAUCGACCUCCACCAGGUGUGUCAAUUUACAUAAAAGAUGGAAUUUUUUUUUUAUUAUUGUUUUUUAAAAGACGCGCACAUCAAAACUGUGUCAAACACAAAGAAAAAAAAACGGUUGUUUUGUUAGUUUAACUCUCUCUCUCCCCACCACAUUUCUUCUAUUUGUGUGUUUGAAUGUUUGAGCGUGAUUCCCAAAACAGCUCCCAAUCCCCCAAAACAAAAACAAACAAAAAAAAAUGUUAUUUAUAGCGAUGAUGAUUUCAUAAUCAUUCAGUCAAUGACUUGUGUGACAAUGAUGGACGGGAAAGAGAAUGAGAACAAAUAAAAUUGAAAUGAUUGAAGAAAAAAAAA